UUUAUACAAGCCAUUCACUGCCUCAAAGCAAUGGUUUUGCGUUCUUAUCCCAUUUGGGAUCAAAUAUCAACAAGUCUUUCUUCUCACUUCUAAACAUUCUUCAUGUAUCUCUAGUAUUAUAACAUAUGCUAACCCAAAAUAACUUUAUACAAGCCAUUCAUUGCCUCAAAGCAAUGGUUUUGGGUUCUUAUCCCAUUUGGGGACCAAAUAUCAACAAGUCUUUCUACUCACUUCUAAACAUUCUUCAUGUAUCUCUAGCACUUGUAAUCAAUCAAAUUCAUUGUAUUAUAACAUAUUCUAACCCAAAAUAACUUUAUAAAAGCCAUUCACUGCCUCAAAGCCAUGGUUUUGGGUACUUAUCCCAUUUGGGACCAAAUAUCAACAAGUCUUUCUUCUCACUUUUAAACAUUCUUCAGGCAUCUCUAGCACUUGUAAUCAAUGAAAUUCAUUGUAUU
Molecule: long non-coding RNA, 455 nt
Filed under: Capsella rubella
Lineage: Eukaryota; Viridiplantae; Streptophyta; Magnoliopsida; Brassicales; Brassicaceae
Description: long non-coding RNA (CRUB_LNC000183)
Source: RNAcentral